UACGUAGGGAGCGAGCGUUGUCCGGAUUUAUUGGGCGUAAAGAGCUUGUAGGUGGUUCAGUAAGUCGGGUGUGAAAACUCUGGGCUCAACCCAGAGAGGCCACCCGAUACUGCUGUGACUAGAGUCUGGUAGGGGAUCGCGGAAUAUCAGGUGUAGCGGUGAAAUGCACAGAUAUCUGAUGGAACACCAGCAGCGAAGGCGGCGAUCUGGGCCAGUACUGACACUGAGAAGCGAAAGCGUGGGGAGCGAACAGG
RNAcentral lists this unclassified non-coding RNA (254 nucleotides) under uncultured Acidimicrobiia bacterium. RNAcentral describes it as "contains 16S-23S intergenic spacer region". It matches the Rfam family "Bacterial small subunit ribosomal RNA", at positions 524 to 776 of the family's 1533-position model. The record is from RNAcentral. Lineage: Bacteria; Bacillati; Actinomycetota; Acidimicrobiia.